CAGAUUUGAUCAUGGCUCAGAUUGAACGCUGGCGGCAGGCCUAACACAUGCAAGUCGAGCGGUAGCACAGAGAGUUGCUCUCGGUGACGAGCGGCGGACGGGUGAGUAAUGUCUGGGAAACUGCCUGAUGGAGGGGGAUAACUACUGGAAACGGUAGCUAAUACCGCAUAAUGUCGCAAGACCAAAGUGGGGGACCUUCGGGCCUCAUGCCAUCAGAUGUGCCCAGAUGGGAUUAGCUAGUAGGUGGGGUAACGGCUCACCUAGGCGACGAUCCCUAGCUGGUCUGAGAGGAUGACCAGCCACACUGGAACUGAGACACGGUCCAGACUCCUACGGGAGGCAGCAGUGGGGAAUAUUGCACAAUGGGCGCAAGCCUGAUGCAGCCAUGCCGCGUGUGUGAAGAAGGCCUUCGGGUUGUAAAGCACUUUCAGCGGGAGGAAGGCGGUGAGGUUAAUAACCUCAUCGAUUGACGUUACCCGCAGAAGAAGCACCGGCUAACUCCGUGCCAGCAGCCGCGGUAAUACGGAGGGUGCAAGCGUUAAUCGGAAUUACUGGGCGUAAAGCGCACGCAGGCGGUCUGUCAAGUCGGAUGUGAAAUCCCCGGGCUCAACCUGGGAACUGCAUUCGAAACUGGCAGGCUAGAGUCUUGUAGAGGGGUAGAAUUCCAGGUGUAGCGGUGAAAUGCGUAGAGAUCUGGAGGAAUACCGGUGGCGAAGGCGGCCCCUGGACAAGACUGACGCUCAGGUGCGAAAGCGUGGGGAGCAAACAGGAUUAGAUACCCUGGUAGUCCACGCCGUAAACGAUGUCGAUUUGGAGGUUGUGCCCUUGAGGCGUGGCUUCCGGAGCUAACGCGUUAAAUCGACCGCCUGGGGGAGUACGGCCGCAAGGUUAAAACUCAAAUGAAUUGACGGGGGCCCGCACAAGCGGUGGAGCAUGUGGUUUAAUUCGAUGCAACGCGAAGAACCUUACCUGGUCUUGACAUCCACAGAACUUUCCAGAGAUGGAUUGGUGCCUUCGGGAACUGGAGACAGGUGCUGCAUGGCUGUCGUCAGCUCGUGUUGUGAAAUGUUGGGUUAAGUCCCGCAACGAGCGCA
This 1094-nucleotide ribosomal RNA is filed under the name Klebsiella sp. SRC_DSD8. Its description in RNAcentral is "bacterial SSU rRNA". It matches the Rfam family "Bacterial small subunit ribosomal RNA", at positions 1 to 1100 of the family's 1533-position model. The record is from RNAcentral. Lineage: Bacteria; Pseudomonadati; Pseudomonadota; Gammaproteobacteria; Enterobacterales; Enterobacteriaceae.